Molecule: signal recognition particle RNA, 298 nt
Filed under: Cebus imitator (Panamanian white-faced capuchin)
Lineage: Eukaryota; Metazoa; Chordata; Mammalia; Primates; Cebidae
Description: Metazoan signal recognition particle RNA (ENSCCAG00000009856.1)
Rfam family: Metazoan signal recognition particle RNA
About the family: The signal recognition particle (SRP) is a universally conserved ribonucleoprotein.
Source: RNAcentral
GCCUUGUGUGGUGGCAUGUGCUUGUAGUCCCAGCUGCUUGGUAGGCUGAGGCUGGAGGAUCGCUUGAGUCCAGCAGUUCUGGGCUGUAGUGUGCUAUGCUAGUCGGGUGUCUGCACUAAGUUCGGCAUCAAUAUGGUGACCUCCUGGGAGCAGGGACCACCAGGUUACCUAAGGAGGGGUGAACUGGCCUAGAUUGGAAACAGAACAGGUCAAAACUCCCAUGCUGAUCAGUGGUGGGAUUGCACCUGUGAAUAGCCACUGCAUUCCAACCUGGCCAACAUAAUGAGAUCCUGCCUCU